CUACGGGAUGCAGCAGCGAGGAAUAUUGCACAAUGGGGGGAACCCUAAUGCAGCAACGCCGCGUGGAGGAUGACGCAUUUCGGUGUGUAAACUCCUUUUAUAUGUCAAGAAAAUGACGGUAGCAUAUGAAUAAGCACCGGCUAACUCCGUGCCAGCAGCCGCGGUAAUACGGAGGGUGCAAGCGUUACUCGGAAUCACUGGGCGUAAAGGACGCGUAGGCGGGUUGGAAAGUCAGGUGUGAAAUCCUACAGCUUAACUGUAGAACUGCACUUGAAACUUCUAAUCUAGAGUAUGGGAGGGGGAGAUGGAAUUAGUGGUGUAGGGGUAAAAUCCGUAGAUAUCACUAGGAAUACCUAAAGCGAAGGCGAUCUCCUGGAACAUUACUGACGCUAAGGCGUGAAAGCGUGGGGAGCAAACAGGAUUAGAUACCCGCGUAGUC
This 439-nucleotide ribosomal RNA is filed under the name uncultured bacterium. Its description in RNAcentral is "partial 16S ribosomal RNA". It matches the Rfam family "Bacterial small subunit ribosomal RNA", at positions 339 to 795 of the family's 1533-position model. The record is from RNAcentral.